GCAAGCUACUAAGGGCGCACGGUGGAUGCCUAGGAGCAAGGAGCCGAUGAAGGGCGUGGCAAGCUGCGAUAAGCCACGGGGAGCCGCAAGCAGGCGUUGAUCCGUGGAUUCCCGAAUGGGGAAACCCGGCCACCGCAAGGGUGGUCACCCACCGCUGAACCCAUAGGCGGUGUGGAGGGAACCUGGGGAACUGAAACAUCUCAGUACCCAGAGGAAAAGAAACCGAAUGGGAUUCCCUCAGUAGUGGCGAGCGAACGGGGAACAGCCUAAACCAGUCGGGCGUGCCCGAUUGGGGUCGUGGGACCGACACAAGGGAGCGUCUUCCGCUUAGCAGAAGCUGCCUGGAACGGCACGCCAUAGAGGGUGAGAGCCCCGUAUGCGAAAAGUGGAGCGCCCCGUCGGGAUCCCGAGUAGCACGGGAUAAGUGGAACCCUGUGCGAAUCUGCCCGGACCACCGGGUAAGGCUAAAUACUCCUUGCUACCGAUAGCGCAACCAGUACCGUGAGGGAAAGGUGAAAAGCACCCCGGCGAGGGGAGUGAAAGAGAACCUGAAACCGUGCGCUUACAAGCAGUCGGAGGGCUAUGCCCCGCAAGGGGAACAGCCUGACGGCGUGCCUUUUGCAGAAUGAGCCGGCGAGUUACGCUUUGUGGCAAGGUUAAGCGCCUCAGGCGCGGAGCCGCAGCGAAAGCGAGUCCUCACAGGGCGACUCAGUCACAAGGCGUAGACCCGAAACCGCGCGAUCUACCCCUGGUCAGGCUGAAGCCGUGGUAACACACGGUGGAGGGCCGAACCGGUGUCCGUUGAAAAGGGCUCGGAUGAACUGGGGGUAGUGUGGUGAAAUGCCAAUCGAGCGCGGAGAUAGCUGGUUCUCCCCGAAAUGCAUUGAGGUGCAGCGUCACGGGCUAUGCUAUGCAGGUAGAGCCACUGGAUGGGCUAGGGGCCCCACCAGGUUACCGAACCCAACCAAACUCCGAAUGGCAUAGCAGGAACCGUGGCAGUGAGACAGCGACGGAUGAGCGCCGUUGUCAAAAGGGAAACAGCCCAGACCGCCCGCUAAGGUCCCUAAGCACAGGCUAAGUGUGAAAGGAUGUAGGCUCGCGUAGACAACCAGGAGGUUGGCUUAGAAGCAGCCAUCCUUUAAACAGUGCGUAACAGCUGACUGGUCGAAUGUGAGCCUGCGCCGACAAUGUAAGGGGGCUUAAGCCUGUCACCGAAGCGGCGGGUUCCCAGCAAUGGGAGCGGUAGGGGAGCGUUCUGCACGCAGUGAAGGUGGAGCGUGAGCACCGCUGGAGCGUGCAGAAGUGAGAAUGCCGGCACGAGUAGCGAGAAGACGGGUGAGAAUCCCGUCCGCCGAAAGCCUAAGGGUUCUUCAGGCAGGUUCGUCCGCUGAAGGUUAGGCGGUCCUAAGCCGAGGGCGAAACGCCGUAGGCGAAGGGCAGUGGGUCAACAUUCCCACCCCAGGGCGUGGAGCGAGAACGGGGACGCUUGAGAAUCGGUCGGGCGCAGGGUUGUAAGGCUGCGCGCGCCCCAGCGGCAACUCUGGGGCGCCGAAGGGAUCCCUCGUGGUGAACGAAGCGACCGUGACUCAAGCCGAGAAAAGCCGUUCCGCGUUGAAACGUCCUGACCGUACCGCAAACCGACACAGGUAGGCGAGGCGAGGAGCCUCAGGCGCGCGAGAGAAGUCCCGCUAAGGAACUCGGCAAAUUGACCCCGUAACUUCGGGAGAAGGGGUGCCUCCGCAAGGAGGUCGCAGCAAAGAGGGCCCGGCGACUGUUUACCAAAAACACAGCUCUCUGCGAAGGGGUAACCCGACGUAUAGGGGGCGACGCUUGGCCAAUGCCCGUAGGUUAAGGGGAGGGGUCAGCCGCAAGGUGCAGCCCCAAACUGAAGCCCGGGUGAAUGCCGGCCGUAACUCUAACGGUUCGUCACAGGGCCGUUGUAAAAUCUGGCUAUAUGCUGGAACAGCUCGUGUAUCCCACGCUACCGAGGAGGUGAAAACGCGAUGGGUGGAGCCAAUCAGCAGGAAAGACUCGCCCACACCGAAGCCGCCAAAUGGUUCCUCGCGGGGUUCAUCGAAGGUGAAGGCUCCCUGCUUGUCAGCAUCAAACACCACGAAACCAGCCGAUACGGCUACUAUGUGGACCCAGAGUUCCACCUUGUCCAACACACGAGUGGACGCAAUAUCCUGGAGCUGGCAAAGCAGGUCUUCCAAACAGGGCGCAUCUACCCCAAACCCGGCAGCCCAAACUGCCUCGUCUACGCCAUUCACUGCCGGCGUAGCCUCUGGGAAAAACUGGUGCCCUUCUACGAAAAGUAUGUCCUUCCCUUCGCCUCCCCGAACAAACGCGAAACCUUUCUGCGGUUUCGCGAAAUCCUGGAGAUGAUGAACCGCGGGGAACAUCGGACCCCUGACGGACUGGCACGCAUCGUCGAGAAGGCGUAUGCGAUGAACCCAGCCGCGAAGGGGAAGCAGCGCCUCAGACCGCUGCACGAGGUGUUGGCGAGAAUCCUCAGAGACCAUACGCCAGACACUCCGCCAAACGCGGAGUGAAGAUAUGGUCCAGUCCCUAUGGCGACAUAGGGGGCAACUGCCUAUGGUAGCGAAAUUCCUUGUCGCGUAAAUUGCGACCCGCACGAAAAGCGUAACGACUGGGCCACUGUCUCAGCGGGACACUCGGUGAAACUGUAGUACCCGUGAAGAUGCGGGUUACCUGCGGUAGGACGGAAAGACCCUAUGGAGCUUUACU
Molecule: ribosomal RNA, 2748 nt
Filed under: Armatimonadetes bacterium DC
Lineage: Bacteria; Bacillati; Armatimonadota
Description: bacterial LSU rRNA
Rfam family: Bacterial large subunit ribosomal RNA
Source: RNAcentral